CACGUAGGAGACGAGCGUUAUCCGGAUUUACUGGGUGUAAAGCGCGUGCAGGCGGCCUUGCAAGUUGGAUGUGAAAGCUCCCGGCUUAACUGGGAGAGGUCGUUCAAGACUGCGAGGCUAGAGGACAGCAGAGGGGAGUGGAAUUCCGAGUGUAGCGGUAAAAUGCAUAGAUAUUCGGAAGAACACCAGUGGCGAAGGCGGCUCUCUGGGCUGAACCUGACGCUCAGACGCGAAAGCUAGGGUAGCAAACGGG
This 253-nucleotide ribosomal RNA is filed under the name uncultured bacterium. Its description in RNAcentral is "partial 16S ribosomal RNA". It matches the Rfam family "Bacterial small subunit ribosomal RNA", at positions 524 to 776 of the family's 1533-position model. The record is from RNAcentral.